Molecule: ribosomal RNA, 550 nt
Filed under: Enterococcus faecium
Lineage: Bacteria; Bacillati; Bacillota; Bacilli; Lactobacillales; Enterococcaceae
Description: bacterial SSU rRNA
Rfam family: Bacterial small subunit ribosomal RNA
Source: RNAcentral
GAAACCGCAUGGUUUUGAUUUGAAAGGCGCUUUCGGGUGUCGCUGAUGGAUGGACCCGCGGUGCAUUAGCUAGUUGGUGAGGUAACGGCUCACCAAGGCCACGAUGCAUAGCCGACCUGAGAGGGUGAUCGGCCACAUUGGGACUGAGACACGGCCCAAACUCCUACGGGAGGCAGCAGUAGGGAAUCUUCGGCAAUGGACGAAAGUCUGACCGAGCAACGCCGCGUGAGUGAAGAAGGUUUUCGGAUCGUAAAACUCUGUUGUUAGAGAAGAACAAGGAUGAGAGUAACUGUUCGGACCUUGACGGUAUCUAACCAGAAAGCCACGGCUAACUACGUGCCAGCAGCCGCGGUAAUACGUAGGUGGCAAGCGUUGUCCGGAUUUAUUGGGCGUAAAGCGAGCGCAGGCGGUUUCUUAAGUCUGAUGUGAAAGCCCCGGCUCAACCGGGGAGGGUCAUUGGAAACGGGAGACUUGAGUGCAGAAGAGGAGAGUGGAAUUCCAUGUGUAGCGGUGAAAUGCGAAGAUAUAUGGAGGAACACCAGUGGCGAAG